Molecule: unclassified non-coding RNA, 240 nt
Filed under: soil metagenome
Description: partial contains 5.8S ribosomal RNA, internal transcribed spacer 2, and large subunit ribosomal RNA
Source: RNAcentral
AACGGUCUAUACCUGCGGUACCUGCGGAAGGAUCAUUACAGAGUUCGUGCCCUCUGGGUAGAUCUCCCACCCACUGUUUUCCUUACGACCGUUGCUUUGGCGGGCCGCCGGCCCUGCCCGGCCGCCGGCGCCCAGCUGGCGCGCGCCCGCCAGAGGCCCUCCAGACUCUGAAUGUUAGCGUCGUCUGAGUACCACAUAAUAAGUUAAAACUUUUAGCAAUGGAUCUCUAGAUCGGAAGAG